GGGAUGGACGGACCGCUGGUGUAUCUGUUGGCUGCCAGAGCCAUGGCAGAGUAGCCAAGUCCGGCAGGGAUAAACGCUGAAGGCAUCUAAGCGUGAAGCCCCCCUCAAGAUGAGAUAUCCCAGUAAGUAAGACCCCUUAGAGAGUAUGAGGUAGAUAGGCUUAAGGUGGAAGUGCAGUAAUGCAUGGAGCUGAUAAGUACUAAUCGGUCGAGGGCUUAACCAA
Molecule: ribosomal RNA, 223 nt
Filed under: Candidatus Eisenbergiella pullistercoris
Lineage: Bacteria; Bacillati; Bacillota; Clostridia; Lachnospirales; Lachnospiraceae
Description: partial 23S ribosomal RNA
Rfam family: Bacterial large subunit ribosomal RNA
Source: RNAcentral